CAGCAGCCGCGGUAAUACCGGCGGCCCGAGUGGCGGCCACUAUUAUUGGGCUUAAAGCGUCCGUAGCCGGGUUGGUUAGUCUCCCGGGAAAUCUGGCCGCUUAACGGUCAGAAUUCCGGGAGAUACUGCCAGCCUAGGGACCGGGAGAGGCCGAGGGUAUUCCCGGAGUAGGGGUGAAAUCCUAUAAUCCCGGGAGGACCACCUGUGGCGAAGGCGCUCGGCUGGAACGGGUCCGACGGUGAGGGACGAAGGCCAGGGGAGCAAACCGGAUUAGAUACCCGGGUAGUCCUGGCGGUAAACGAUGCGGACUUUGUGUCGGACAAGCUAUGAGCUUGUCCGGUGCCGGAGGGAAACCGUUGAGUCCGCCGCCUGGGGAGUACGGCCGCAAGGCUGAAACUUAAAGGAAUUGGCGGG
This 414-nucleotide ribosomal RNA is filed under the name uncultured microorganism. Its description in RNAcentral is "bacterial SSU rRNA". It matches the Rfam family "Archaeal small subunit ribosomal RNA", at positions 459 to 872 of the family's 1478-position model. The record is from RNAcentral.